Molecule: long non-coding RNA, 1173 nt
Filed under: Salmo salar (Atlantic salmon)
Lineage: Eukaryota; Metazoa; Chordata; Actinopteri; Salmoniformes; Salmonidae
Description: lncRNA (ENSSSAG00000110403.1)
Source: RNAcentral
GACCAAUCAGAUGGCUCUGUGGUCAGGUUCUGACCAAUCAGAUGGCUCUGUGGUCAGGUUCUGGCCAAUCAGAUGGCUCUGUGGUCAGGUUCUGACCAAUCAGAUGCCUCUGUGGUCAGGUUCUGGCCAAUCAGAUGGCUCUGUGGUCAGGUUCUGGCCAAUCAGAUGGCUCUGUGGUCAGGUUCUGGCCAAUCAGAUGGCUCUGUGGUCAGGUUCUGGCCAAUCAGAUGGCUCUGUGGUCAGGUUCUGGCCAAUCAGAUGCCUCUGUGGUGGUGUUGUGACUACUGCUGUCUCAGUACUCCUGGAGGACCCCUGGUGUUUCUGAUAGAUUAACUUCCGUCCAGCCCGGGAUUCAAUCAAAGGCGCAUUGUGGAUUAUUAGCACACCAAAUUAGACUGUUCAAUCUAAUGUAGACUUCAGCUGACAUCCGCAGCGUUUACCAUGAAUACCAUCUCCACGAAGGUCAGAGAAAUGACCUGCUUAAAGGUGCAUUGUGGACAGUGCGCCUUUGGUUGAAUCCCAGCCACGGUCUCAUUCAGACCUGGGACACCAAAUCAUGUAUCAAAUACAUGUCCCAAAAUGGCACCCUAUUCCCUACAUAGUGCACUCCUUUUGACCAGAAUAGCACCCUAUUCCCGAUAUAGUGCACUACAUUUGACCAGAGCCCUAAAAGUAGUCACAGUAUAGGAAAUAGGGAGCAAUUUUGGACAUCAUCAGUGCUUCAAUCCCAAAUGGCUCACUAUGUAGUCUACUACCUUUGACCAGAGGCCAUAGGGGAAUAGGAGGCCAUAGGGGAAUAGGAGGCCAUAGGGGAAUAGGAGGCCAUAGGGGAAUAGGAGGCCAUAGGGGAAUAGGAAGCAUUUGGGAGGCCAUAGGGGAAUAGGAGGCCAUAGGGGAAUAGGAGGCAUUUGGGAGGCCAUAGGGGAAUAGGAGGCCAUAGGGGAAUAGGAGGCCAUUCAGUGUCUGUCAGCCCUCCAGGUCUAGUUUGACCUUACAUCUCCCUGGUUAAAUGGAACUGGAUUCGUCACUCACUGCUUCUCAAUGUUUUAUGGAGUGUAUGUAUAUUAUUAUAUGAUCACAUUUUAAAACAACUGAUGUGUUGACCUCUAAGUACCCUGUGAACUGUUUGUGUUGAGAAAAAAAUUAAAAUAAAUAGAUUUAUGUAAAAUUUGA